This 484-nucleotide ribosomal RNA is filed under the name denitrifying bacterium W70c. Its description in RNAcentral is "bacterial SSU rRNA". It matches the Rfam family "Bacterial small subunit ribosomal RNA", at positions 12 to 491 of the family's 1533-position model. Lineage: Bacteria; Pseudomonadati; Pseudomonadota; Betaproteobacteria. The record is from RNAcentral.
UUUGAUCCUGGCUCAGAUUGAACGCUGGCGGCAUGCCUUACACAUGCAAGUCGAACGGCAGCGCGGGAGCAAUCCUGGCGGCGAGUGGCGAACGGGUGAGUAAUACAUCGGAACGUGCCCAAUCGUGGGGGAUAACGCAGCGAAAGCUGUGCUAAUACCGCAUACGAUCUACGGAUGAAAGCAGGGGAUCGCAAGACCUUGCGCGAAUGGAGCGGCCGAUGGCAGAUUAGGUAGUUGGUGAGGUAAAGGCUCACCAAGCCUUCGAUCUGUAGCUGGUCUGAGAGGACGACCAGCCACACUGGGACUGAGACACGGCCCAGACUCCUACGGGAGGCAGCAGUGGGGAAUUUUGGACAAUGGGCGAAAGCCUGAUCCAGCCAUGCCGCGUGCAGGAUGAAGGCCUUCGGGUUGUAAACUGCUUUUGUACGGAACGAAACGGUCUUUUCUAAUAAAGAAGGCUAAUGACGGUACCGUAAGAAUAAGC